UACGAAGGGGGCUAGCGUUGCUCGGAAUCACUGGGCGUAAAGGGCUCGUAGGCGGCCAACUAAGUCAUACGUGAAAUCCCUCGGCUUAACCGGGGAACUGCGUCUGAUACUGGAUGGCUUGAGAUUGGGAGAGGGAUGCGGAAUUCCAGGUGUAGCGGUGAAAUGCGUAGAUAUCUGGAGGAACACCGGUGGCGAAGGCGGCAUCCUGGACCAACACUGACGCUGAGGAGCGAAAGCCAGGGGAGCAAACGGG
Molecule: ribosomal RNA, 253 nt
Filed under: uncultured bacterium
Lineage: Bacteria
Description: partial 16S ribosomal RNA
Rfam family: Bacterial small subunit ribosomal RNA
Source: RNAcentral